RNAcentral lists this long non-coding RNA (244 nucleotides) under Mytilus galloprovincialis (Mediterranean mussel). The record is from RNAcentral. Lineage: Eukaryota; Metazoa; Mollusca; Bivalvia; Mytilida; Mytilidae.
CAUCGGUUUAUGAUUUAAUGAAAAAAUAUAGAAAAUUGUUAAGCUGUUUUUUUUUUUCAGGAAGGAAAAUAAUGUUUGCAUCGAGAAAAAUAGCCCCUCCCCUAUAAAUGAUCAUUAAUUUACCUAAGUGGGAGCUUAAAUUUUGGACACCGAUCGCGAGGCCUGACUGCCAUAAACAACAGAUUACGAACAGCAAACAGUGGAUACACCAAUUCAUUGAUAUGUAUGAAAGACAACGACGGAC